AUUGAACGCUGGCGGAAUGCUUUACACAUGCAAGUCGAACGGCAGCACGGACUUCGGUCUGGUGGCGAGUGGCGAACGGGUGAGUAACAUAUCGGAACGUAUCCAAUAAUGGGGGAUAACGAGUCGACAGAUUCGCUAAUACCGCAUACGCUCUACGGGGGAACGCUAGGGACCUUCGGGCAUGGCGUUGAUGGAGAGGCCGAUAUCUGAUGAGCUAGUUGGUGAGGUAAAGGCUCACCAAGGCGACGAUCAGUAGCUGGUCUGAGAGGACGAACAGCCACUCGGGAACUGAGACACGGUCCAGACUCCUACGGGAGGCAGCAGUGGGGAAUUUUGGACAAUGGGCGAAAGCCUGAUCCAGCCAUUCCGCGUGAGUGAAGAAGGCCUUCGGGUUGUAAAGCUCUUUCGCAAGGGAAGAAAACUUAUCCUCUAACAUAGGAUGAGGUUGACGGUACCUUGAUAAGAAGCACCGGCUAACUACGUGCCAGCAGCCGCCGUAA
Molecule: ribosomal RNA, 500 nt
Filed under: uncultured bacterium
Lineage: Bacteria
Description: partial 16S ribosomal RNA
Rfam family: Bacterial small subunit ribosomal RNA
Source: RNAcentral